This 550-nucleotide small RNA is filed under the name Pan troglodytes (chimpanzee). RNAcentral's name for it is "retained intron". The record is from RNAcentral. Lineage: Eukaryota; Metazoa; Chordata; Mammalia; Primates; Hominidae.
UAAAUGCUUCCCCCAUCUCGUUUCAGUACAAAACGUUUAAUUGUGGAUGUCAUCCGGUUCCAGCCAGGAGAGACCUUGACUGAAAUCCUAGAAACACCAGCCACCAGUGAACAGGAAGCAGAACAUCAGAGAGCCAUGCAGAGACGUGCUAUCCGUGAUGCCAAAACACCUGACAAGAUGAAAAAGUCAAAAUCUGUAAAGGAAGACAGCAACCUCACUCUUCAAGAGAAGAAAGAGAAGAUCCAGACAGGUUUAAAGAAGCUAACAGAGCUUGGAACCGUGGACCCAAAGAACAAAUACCAGGAACUGAUCAACGACAUUGCCAGGGAUAUUCGGAAUCAGCGGAGGUACCGACAGAGGAGAAAGGCCGAACUAGUGAAACUGCAACAGACAUACGCUGCUCUGAACUCUAAGGCCACCUUUUAUGGGGAGCAGGUGGAUUACUAUAAAAGCUAUAUCAAAACCUGCUUGGAUAACUUAGCCAGCAAGGGCAAAGUCUCCAAAAAGCCUAGGGAAAUGAAAGGAAAGAAAAGCAAAAAGAUUUCUCUGA